Molecule: ribosomal RNA, 253 nt
Filed under: uncultured bacterium
Lineage: Bacteria
Description: partial 16S ribosomal RNA
Rfam family: Bacterial small subunit ribosomal RNA
Source: RNAcentral
UACGAAGGGGGCUAGCGUUACUCGGAAUGACUGGGCGUAAAGGGCGCGUAGGCGGCGGGCAUCGUCGGAUGUGAAAUUCCUGGGCUUAACCUGGGGGCUGCAUUCGAUACGUGGUCGCUGGAGUGCGGAAGAGGGUCGUGGAAUUCCCAGUGUAGUGGUGAAAUGCGUAGAUAUCGGGAGGAACACCAGUGGCGAAGGCGGCUUCCUGGCCUGUUCUUGACGCUGAGGCGCGAAAGCUAGGGGAGCAAACGGG